AUUGAACGCUGGCGGCAGGCCUAACACAUGCAAGUCGAGCGGAUGAAGGGAGGUUGCUCCUGGAUUCAGCGGCGGACGGGGGAGUAAUGCCUAGGAAUCUGCCUGGUAGUGGGGGAUAACGUCAGGAAACGGGCGCUAAUACCGCAUACGUCCUGAGGGAGAAAGUGGGGGAUCUUCGGACCUCACGCUAUCAGAUGAGUGUAGGUCGGAUUAGCUAGUUGGUGGGGUAAAGGCCUACCAAGGCGACGAUCCGUAACUGGUCUGAGAGGAUGAUCAGUCACACUGGAACUGAGACACAGUCCAGACUCCUACGGGAUGCAACAGUGAAGCAUCUUGAACAAUGGACAAAAGCCUAAUCCACCCAUGCCCCGUGUGUGAAGAAGGUCUUCUGAUUGUAAAGCACUUUAAGUUGGGAGUAAUUGCAUUAGGUUAAUACCUUGCUGUUUUAACGUUACCAACAUAAUAAGCACCGGCUAACUUCGUG
RNAcentral lists this ribosomal RNA (484 nucleotides) under uncultured bacterium. RNAcentral describes it as "partial 16S ribosomal RNA". It matches the Rfam family "Bacterial small subunit ribosomal RNA", at positions 30 to 507 of the family's 1533-position model. The record is from RNAcentral.